This 315-nucleotide ribosomal RNA is filed under the name uncultured bacterium. Its description in RNAcentral is "partial 16S ribosomal RNA". It matches the Rfam family "Bacterial small subunit ribosomal RNA", at positions 355 to 662 of the family's 1533-position model. The record is from RNAcentral.
UAGGGAAUCUUCCACAAUGGACGCAAGUCUGAUGGAGCAACGCCGCGUGAGUGAGGAAGGCUUUCGGGUCGUAAAACUCUGUUAUUGAAGAAGAACGUGUGUGACAGUAACUGGUCAUGCAGUGACGGUAUUCAAUCAGAAAGUCACGGCUAACUACGUGCCAGCAGCCGCGGUAAUACGUAGGUGGCAAGCGUUGUCCGGAUUUAUUGGGCGUAAAGCGAGUGCAGGCGGUCUUUUAAGUCUGAUGUGAAAGCCUUCGGCUUAACCGAAGAAGGGCAUCGGAAACUGGGAGACUUGAGUGCAGAAGAGGAGAGU